ACAUUAAUGCAAAUUAAGCUUAGAAUUGGUAUAAAAGAUUCCCGCCAGGGUGGGUCAGGUAUAGUUUUGUCGUACAAAGCAAGCUUACAAGAUGUUCAAAUACUUUGCUUUAUUUGCACUCCUCUUCGUGUUAGCCGCCGCCGCACCCGAGCCUGAAGCCAAACCAGUGUACCCAUAUUCUCAUCAUUAUACCCAUCAUGGAGUUCACCCAUACGCCUAUGGUCAUCAGCAUUACGUUCAUCCGUACCACGCUGGUUACUAUGGACAUCACCAUGGCCAUUUUGGACACUACUACUAAUCUCCACACUGUUUCGGCUUAAACAUCUUUCCAAUUCCAAUACAAAUUUGUACAUGUAAAUAAAGAAGCUUUUAACAACAAUCA
Long non-coding RNA from Photinus pyralis (common eastern firefly), 382 nucleotides. RefSeq lists it as uncharacterized. NCBI's taxonomy places the organism in Eukaryota, Metazoa, Arthropoda, Insecta, Coleoptera, Lampyridae. The transcript is spliced from 2 exons. The record is from RefSeq and is a predicted model, not a curated record.